RNAcentral lists this ribosomal RNA (545 nucleotides) under uncultured Actinomycetes bacterium. RNAcentral describes it as "bacterial SSU rRNA". It matches the Rfam family "Bacterial small subunit ribosomal RNA", at positions 89 to 651 of the family's 1533-position model. Lineage: Bacteria; Bacillati; Actinomycetota; Actinomycetes. The record is from RNAcentral.
GACUUAGUGGCGAACGGGUGCGUAACACGUGAGAAAUCUGCCCCGGACUUCGGAAUAACAGUUGGAAACGACUGCUAAUACCGGAUGCCUUCAUUUGACCGCAUGGUUGUUUGAAGAAAGAUUUAUCGGUUUGGGAGGAUCUCGCGGCCUAUCAGCUUGUUGGAGAGGUAACGGCUCACCAAGGCUUCGACGGGUAGCUGGUCUGAGAGGAUGAUCAGCCACACUGGAACUGAGACACGGUCCAGACUCCUACGGGAGGCAGCAGUGGGGAAUCUUGCACAAUGGGCGCAAGCCUGAUGCAGCGAUGCCGCGUGCGGGAAGAAGGCCUUAGGGUUGUAAACCGCUUUCAGGAGGGAAGAAAAUGACGGUACCUCCAGAAGAAGGUGCGGCCAACUACGUGCCAGCAGCCGCGGUGACACGUAGGCACCAAGCGUUAUCCGGAUUUAUUGGGCGUAAAGAGCUCGUAGGCGGUUUGGUAAGUCGGGUGUGAAAACUCUGGGCUCAACCCAGAGAGGCCACUCGAUACUGCUAUGACUAGAGUACGG